Molecule: ribosomal RNA, 914 nt
Filed under: Streptococcus anginosus
Lineage: Bacteria; Bacillati; Bacillota; Bacilli; Lactobacillales; Streptococcaceae
Description: bacterial SSU rRNA
Rfam family: Bacterial small subunit ribosomal RNA
Source: RNAcentral
ACCUGAGAGGGUGAUCGGCCACACUGGGACUGAGACACGGCCCAGACUCCUACGGGAGGCAGCAGUAGGGAAUCUUCGGCAAUGGGGGGAACCCUGACCGAGCAACGCCGCGUGAGUGAAGAAGGUUUUCGGAUCGUAAAGCUCUGUUGUUAAGGAAGAACGAGUGUGAGAAUGGAAAGUUCAUACUGUGACGGUACUUAACCAGAAAGGGACGGCUAACUACGUGCCAGCAGCCGCGGUAAUACGUAGGUCCCGAGCGUUGUCCGGAUUUAUUGGGCGUAAAGCGAGCGCAGGCGGUUAGAAAAGUCUGAAGUGAAAGGCAGUGGCUCAACCAUUGUAGGCUUUGGAAACUGUUUAACUUGAGUGCAGAAGGGGAGAGUGGAAUUCCAUGUGUAGCGGUGAAAUGCGUAGAUAUAUGGAGGAACACCGGUGGCGAAAGCGGCUCUCUGGUCUGUAACUGACGCUGAGGCUCGAAAGCGUGGGGAGCGAACAGGAUUAGAUACCCUGGUAGUCCACGCCGUAAACGAUGAGUGCUAGGUGUUAGGUCCUUUCCGGGACUUAGUGCCGCAGCUAACGCAUUAAGCACUCCGCCUGGGGAGUACGACCGCAAGGUUGAAACUCAAAGGAAUUGACGGGGGCCCGCACAAGCGGUGGAGCAUGUGGUUUAAUUCGAAGCAACGCGAAGAACCUUACCAGGUCUUGACAUCCCGAUGCUAUUUCUAGAGAUAGGAAGUUUCUUCGGAACAUCGGUGACAGGUGGUGCAUGGUUGUCGUCAGCUCGUGUCGUGAGAUGUUGGGUUAAGUCCCGCAACGAGCGCAACCCUUAUUGUUAGUUGCCAUCAUUGAGUUGGGCACUCUAGCGAGACUGCCGGUAAUAAACCGGAGGAAGGUGGGGAUGACGUCAAAUCAUCAUG